RNAcentral lists this ribosomal RNA (1256 nucleotides) under metagenome. RNAcentral describes it as "bacterial SSU rRNA". It matches the Rfam family "Bacterial small subunit ribosomal RNA", at positions 242 to 1520 of the family's 1533-position model. The record is from RNAcentral.
CCGCUAGUUGGUGAGGUAAUGGCUCACCAAGGCAAUGACACCUAACUGGUUUGAGAGGAUGAUCAGUCACACUGGAACUGAGACACGGUCCAGACUCCUACGGGAGGCAGCAGUGGGGAAUAUUGCACAAUGGACGAAAGUCUGAUGCAGCAACGCCGCGUGGAGGAUGACACAUUUCGGUGCGUAAACUCCUUUUAUAUAGGAAGAUAAUGACGGUACUAUAUGAAUAAGCACCGGCUAACUCCGUGCCAGCAGCCGCGGUAAUACGGAGGGUGCAAGCGUUACUCGGAAUUACUGGGCGUAAAGAGCGUGUAGGCGGGUAAAUAAGUUGGAAGUGAAAUCCUAUGGCUCAACCAUAGAACUGCUUCCAAAACUGUUAACCUAGAAUGUGGGAGAGGUAGAUGGAAUUUCUGGUGUAGGGGUAAAAUCCGUAGAUAUCAGAAGGAAUACCGAUUGCGAAGGCGAUCUACUGGAACACUAUUGACGCUGAGACGCGAAAGCGUGGGGAGCAAACAGGAUUAGAUACCCUGGUAGUCCACGCCCUAAACGAUGUACACUAGUUGUUGUGAGGCUAGACCUUGCAGUAAUGCAGUUAACACAUUAAGCGUACCGCCUGGGGAGUACGGUCGCAAGAUUAAAACUCAAAGGAAUAGACGGGGACCCGCACAAGCGGUGGAGCAUGUGGUUUAAUUCGACAUACGCGAAGAACCUUACCUGGUCUUGACAUAGAAAGAACUUUCCAGAGAUGGAUUGGUGCCUGCUUGCAGGAGCUUUCAUACAGGUGCUGCACGGCUGUCGUCAGCUCGUGUCGUGAGAUGUUGGGUUAAGUCCCGCAACGAGCGCAACCCUCGUCGUUAGUUGCUAACAGUUCGGCUGAGAACUCUAACGAGACUGCCUACGCAAGUAGGAGGAAGGUGAGGACGACGUCAAGUCAUCAUGGCCCUUACGACCAGGGCUACACACGUGCUACAAUGGGGUAUACAAAGAGCAGCGAUACGGUGACGUGGAGCGAAUCUCAAAAAUGCCUCCCAGUUCGGAUAGUAGUCUGCAACUCGACUACUUGAAGUUGGAAUCGCUAGUAAUCGUAGAUCAGCUAUGCUACGGUGAAUACGUUCCCGGGUCUUGUACUCACCGCCCGUCACACCAUGGGAGUUGAAUUCAUUCGAAGCGGGGAUGCUAAAAUAGCUACCUUCCACAGUGGAUUUAGCGACUGGGGUGAAGUCGUAACAAGGUAACCGUAGGAGAACCUGCGGUUG